RNAcentral lists this long non-coding RNA (499 nucleotides) under Brassica napus (rape). Its description in RNAcentral is "long non-coding RNA (BNAP_LNC026849)". The record is from RNAcentral. Lineage: Eukaryota; Viridiplantae; Streptophyta; Magnoliopsida; Brassicales; Brassicaceae.
CUAUUGGCUGGUGAACCCAUGAAUAACUCAAAAAAAUUUCAAGUAUAAAAUACUUAUUCUUGGGUUCACCCCUAGGUUCACCAACCAAUAGGUUGUGUUAUUUCAUAUCCGAUAUCUUUGAGAAAAAGAAACAAAAUAUUGUCACGUUAUAUUAUGUUUUAAAAAUAAAAAGUUUAAAAAUAAAAAAAUAAAAAAAUAGCAAUAGUUGAUGGUAGGAGUUUCAAGGCUCCCAAUCAAAUGUUGUAAAAUAAAGGAUGUCAAACCAGUUCUAAGUGAUUCUAAAGCAAAGGGAAUCAAAGACCAUGCUUAAUCUAAGUACUAUCAAUUGAUGAGAUGAUUUUUGAACCAGAAUGCCACUGAAAUGCAAUAAAGGACAAAGCUUUCUUUCUUAUGAAAUAAGAGAACUCAUGGGCUAAAGAAAUUGAUCUUGGGUGAUCAAGUUUCAAUCUAAAAGUGUUAACUUUCAACCAAUAUUUCCACCUUAGACCUAGACACCAUC